UACGUAGGGUGCGAGCGUUGCCCGGAUUUAUUGGGCGUAAAGGGCGCGCAGGCGGUCACGCACGUCCGUUGUGAAAUCGCUCGGCUCAACUGGGCGGGGUCAGCGGAUACGGCGUGACUGGAGCAAGCUAGGGGGCAAUGGAAUUCCCGGUGUAGUGGUGGAAUGCGUAGAUAUCGGGAGGAACACCUGCGGUGUAGACGGCUUACUGGACCAUAACUGACGCUGAGGCACGAAAGCGUGGGUAGCAAACAGG
This 253-nucleotide ribosomal RNA is filed under the name uncultured bacterium. RNAcentral's name for it is "partial 16S ribosomal RNA". It matches the Rfam family "Bacterial small subunit ribosomal RNA", at positions 524 to 776 of the family's 1533-position model. The record is from RNAcentral.